Molecule: long non-coding RNA, 654 nt
Organism: Syngnathoides biaculeatus (alligator pipefish)
Lineage: Eukaryota; Metazoa; Chordata; Actinopteri; Syngnathiformes; Syngnathidae
Exons: 3
Source: RefSeq, a predicted model, not a curated record
AUGAAAAAAAAUUAUAUGCUACAGUGGCACCGGUGGGUCAGCUGGUAAAGCGUUGGCCUCACAGUUCUGAGGUCCAGGGUUCAAUCCCGGGCCCGCCUGUGUGGAGUUUGCAUGUUCUCCCCGUGCCUGAGUGGGGUUUCCUCCGGGCACUCCGGUUUCCUCCCACAUCCCAAAAACAUGCAAUAUUAAUUGGACACUCUAAAUUGCCCCUAGGUGUGAUUGCGAGUGCGACUCUUUGCCUCGAUAUGCCCUGCGAUUGGCUGGCAACCAGUUCAGGGUGUACCCGGCAUUUUCCUUGUUGACAGCUGGGAUAGGCUCCAGCGCUCCCUGCGAGCCUUGUGAGGAUAAGCGGUUAAGAAAAUGGAUGGAUGUCCCCGACGGAAGUCAAGAGCCGAUCGGCUAGUAACGGACUUCCUGUAUUUUGGGGUUCCACCACCAGGUCUCUUUCUUGAUCACCUUGGCUGUAGUAGUCCAGUCUUUCGGAAGCUCCUCCUGGUGUGCCGAUUCCAACAUUUUGGGAUCUCCGGCAGCUGGGAGUGAAUUUGCCAGCCAGAAACGAAGUCCUCCUCGAAGUCGUCGCCGGCGCGCCCGCAGCCGGUCGACCGAGGGGAGUCGGGUGGCGGCGACGGCGGCAGCGUGGGCUGAAGGGCCGGG